Molecule: RNA transcript, 8516 nt
Organism: Zingiber officinale
Lineage: Eukaryota; Viridiplantae; Streptophyta; Magnoliopsida; Zingiberales; Zingiberaceae
Gene name: probable hexosyltransferase MUCI70
Exons: 8
Source: RefSeq, a predicted model, not a curated record
UAUUUCAGCGUCUCAGGAUCCUCGUUGGACGGACUGCUUCUUCGAUGUUGAACAGCGUCUCCGUCUCCAUCUCCGAGGACGACGGCGAUGUCGUGGGGAGGACGCGAGUUCGCCCUCGCCAUAGGCGCAAGAAGACGUGGCCUGGAGGGCGGCGCGAGAUCCUCCCUCGGGCGGCGAGGGCCGCGAUUCGAUGGUGGCCGGUGUUGUUGUUCAUCCCAGUCAUUAUUCUUCUCUUCGAGAUCUCGAGAGUGGGGAGGAAGCUUCCCGACGAUGACCGACCCAAUCUGAGCGCUUCCUCCAAGGAGGAGGAGUCGCCGCGGAACCUAAAUCGACUCGAUCGGAUGACCAGAGUCGUUCACGGCGUUAGAGAGCCCUGCCUUAAAAUCCUUAAUGCAGAGCAGAUAGAAAAAUUAGAGUUUCCAGCAUCUGCAGAAGCUGAUUUCCCUGCCAAGAGUGUGCUAUACAAAGUAGAGACUGGUGAACACCAUGUUGAAGGCAAUGGUACAUUUCUGCCGAAAACAGAAACUACAAGGUUUAAUUUGUUUACUGGAUAUCCAACACUUGGUGAAAGAGAACAAAGUUUCAAGGUUAAUGAAACUGCUGCUGUGCAUUGUGGGUUUUACAGUGAAAGAGGAGGAUUUAAAAUUCCUGAUGCUGACAAAGAUUAUCUGAAAACCUGCAAAGUGGCAGUUUCAACAUGUGCAUUUGGUGGAGGGGAUGAUCUGUACCAACCUAUUGGAAUGACAUAUGCAUCACUAAAUAAGGUUUGCUAUGUGGCAUUCUGGGAUGAAGUUACUCUUUCAUCCCAGAAAAAGAAUGGGAAAGUAAUUGGUGAAGACCAAUUCAUUGGGAAAUGGCGCAUUGUGGUUGUCAAGGAUCUUCCUUUUUCAGAUCAACGAUUGAAUGGGAAAAUACCCAAGAUGUUGAGCCAUCGACUUUUCCCUAACGCAAGGUUUUCAAUUUGGGUCGACUCAAAGUCUCAGUUUCGAAGGGAUCCAAUUGGUGUACUUGAAGCUCUACUUUGGCGUACUAAUUCUGUGCUUGCCAUUUCUGAGCAUGGAGCUCGGAGCAGCCUCUAUGACGAAGCAAAGGCUGUUAUUAAGAAACACAAAGCCACACCAGAAGAAGUCGAAAUUCAACUACAUCAGUAUAGACAAGAUGGUAUUCCCGACGAGAAGAGGCUGAAUGGAAAGAAAGCUCUAGCUGAAGCAUCUGUGAUAGUGAGGGAGCACACUCCAUCGACAAAUAUUUUCAUGUGUCUCUGGUUCAAUGAGGUCGUUCGAUUCACUUCAAGAGAUCAACUGAGCUUCCCAUAUGUUCUCCGACGUCUAAAGAUCCCUCGAGUAAAUAUGUUUCCUGUAUGCACCAGAAAAGAUCUCGUGAACAGUAUGGGGCAUACCCGCAAGGCAUCAAGGGAAUGGAUCCGAGGUUGACCAAACCAGAUUGAACACGAAUCCAAGCUUAAAUGAAGAGAUCAAGCUCUGGAGUAAUCUGGAUCGUCCAUUCAAGAUUAAGAGAGAUCUAAGCCAUCCAUUGAAGAUUUGGUCCAUCCGAGCUAGGAGAGAGUAGAUCAGGUCCCUUGAUGAAGAUUUGAACCUUUGGAUCAAAUUUAGAUCAAGAUUCACCGUUGGAUCAGAGGCAGAAUAAUCACAGCCGUCCAUCACAGAACUGAGAUUAGAUUUAAAGGGAUGAGAAGCUACAGUGUUGGCGUCAACUUCUACAGUGUGAGCGUGAAGAGCAAUCACGAGGGGUGAGUCUCCGACGAUCUUCUUCGACCCAUUCCACCACCGGCGAGCUUGUGAGGUCAAGGGCAUCCCUUCCUCCGGUCAUCAUCUACUCGUCAUCAGCCGGCGAUGCCACUUCAACCACCUAAUCCAGAUUUGAUUUCCGUUUCCCCGCGAUUCUGAGAAGAAGAAGAAACUGGGAAAGAGAGUAAUCUGGAGGUUCGAUUCCGAUUUCUUCUCUUACCAGCCGGCGAUUGUUUACCUUCAAGAUCUGAAUGCUCUAAUCGGUUAGAAGUGUUUGCUUCUACUUCCAUUGGUUUCUCUAUUGCUGUGUAUGAUCUUUGUAUUUCUUGUUCUUGCUGUGACACUGAAUCGAUCGUCUGAAUUGAUCGGUUCUUCACUGAUUUGUGAGUGCUUGGGGGUUCCUCCAACUCACUUUGGUUCAUCACUUUCCCCAAUCUCCAUUACUGGGUUGUGUUUUGCUCUAUUUCUAGUUCAAGUUUAUGAUUUGUGCCGUUUAAUUUUGUAGAUUUACAUUGCUUGAGUUAGCUGAAUUCUUAGAUCUGUUUCUUUCCUUUGAUUCUGUUGUAUGCUUGUUGAAUUUCUGCGUCUAGAUUUGAAGUGUUUGGUAAGUUGUUCUUGAAUCGAUUACAUCUACUGUUCAUCCGAAUUCAAGUUCUUGUUUCAGUAAUUGACUGAAUCUGAUUAGGUUUUGUUCUUGUUUAGUAUUGUUGGUUUCUUAUCUACUCAGUUGCAUGAAUCUAAAUAGGUCUUCUAUCAUCUGACAAAUGGUGGUUUGAUCCAUUGAAUUGAUCUUUUGUUCUUGUCUUGUUCUUAUUUUACUCUUGUUUAGUUUCUAAUUUGUUUAGAUCUGUUAAUGAUGAAAUUCAUAGCAUAAUGUGACAAUAUGUUAUGGGUUCAUGAUUAAUAGAUAGAUAGAUAGGAUUUCUUCCAUUGCGUUAGAUUUAGUUUCAUACUUGUCUUGCUAUUUCAUUCUUUAAUCCAAGAAGUCAAUAAAACCCAAAAACUCCAAGAGAAAUAACAAUUCAAUCCUAAAAAUAUUAAGCAUUGGCUACAUUCGUUGGGAGACGACCCGAGUUAUCUCUAUGCUACAUUAGUGUAGAAUGGAUUCGGACACUUAAUUCUUUUGAUACCCAUUUCACGACAAAAUCGGGUUUAUCAAAAUUGGCGUCGUUGCCGGGGAAUGUAGCGGUGUUUGAUACCUUAGGAUUGUUUCUUUUCCUUUUUACAUAAAAAUGUGAAAAAAAUUUUGUUUCAAUUGCUUUCAUGUUCAUAUAUCCAUGUGUUUGAUCUUAUAUGCUCCUGUAUCUUCUGAUCUUAUCUGCUAGUGUUUCAGUAUAAGAACAGGAAUUUCUUUGGCCAUGGAUCCAUAUUGUCAGUACUAUCAGCCUCAGACUUGGUUCUAUCAAUCUGAACAUCAGUACUAUCCACCUGUGGAUUAUGCAAGUUUCAGGUACGAGGUUGCACAAGGACAAGUUGAUGAGUCAUAUCCAGCAUAUCAAAGCCCACAGGGAGUUCAAAAUGAUUAUAUAGCUAUGCGGAAAAAGAUUCGUGGUAUUCAACAAUUCGAGGAGGAGACAUUGCAUGAAUAUUGGAAAAGAUUCAAGGAACUUUGCUCCAGUUGUCCUCAACAUCAAAUCAGUGAUCAGUUGCUUGUCCUACAUUUUUAUGAUGGGCUUUCACCGUUUGAUUUGUACAUGGUGGAUAAAGCUAGUGGGGGGCCCUUGAUUGACAAAACACCUGAUGAAGCUAUGAAACUUUUGGAAACCAUGGCAGCCAACCCUCAGCAAUUUAGAAAUGGACAACCAGUUACCAUAAGAGUUGAUGAGAUUAUUCCUACGGAUGUAGAGGUGCCUGAGCAGAGGAAUUGUAGUGUUUUUGACAGACCUGAUCUUGAUUUUAUUACUUCACAGGACUCCUCUAAUAUUUCUUGUUAUGAUUCUGUAGUUGUAACAAUUUCUAGCUCUACUGAUAUUGUUGUUGCAGAUGUCGUUGAUGAUGCAGGUACUGAUGUGGAUGAUGAUGUAUGUGUAGGGGAUUGCACAAUGGAAGCAAUACCCCAAGAAUCACCUGAACCAGAUGUUGAUGAUGAGAGUGUAGGGACUUAUGCUGUGGAAGCAGAGCCCCAAGAAUCACUUCCCUUAGAUACACCACCUAAACCAGAGUCUGAGCUAUUAUCUGAUGAUGAGGAGGUCACAGUUACCAUUUUAGAACCUCCAGGUACCUUCCAACAUGACAGGGUUAGUAUUUCUUGUAAUUCAUUAGAAGAUUUUAUAAAGGUACCAUUAAUUGACUUUGUUGGAUGUGAUGCAUUUCUUGACACAUGCUUUAAAGGGACUAAUAUUGUUACAUCUUUUUCUUACCUUAUAUGCUUGCGAGGGAUGUCUACCUUCCAUCUUUAUAGGCUACCGGAGUGGAUGCUUAAAUUGAACCGUCUUCAACCGCCGGGACAAAUUUUCAAGGAGCAUAUGGUGGGAGGAGAGGUUUUGACCUCAAUACACAAUAUUCCACUUCCAAAGUGGAUUUUACACCUUAACCGACUCCAACCACCAGGAAAGACCAUUCCAAUACCGGCAUGGAUCCUACUUCUAAAUCGUUUUCAACCGCCGGGAAUAAAGGGGAGUUCGUUCCUUACUUCUCUUUUUGCUUUAUAUUUUUCAUUGGUUUCAUACUUUACAGUUGCAUUUUGCUUCUAUAUUUUGCAUUUCUUUUUAGUACAUAGCAUUUUAUUUUGAAUAAAAUUCUCCAUGAAAUUGUUCUAGUAAUACUUUUAAGAUGGUAAAAGUUUUUUAAGUUUGACCAUCAAUUUUUAGGUCAAUGGACAUGAUUGAAUACUUUACUUACAUGAUAUUGGUUAGUGUGGUGGUGGAUUCCAACUUGCUUAAUUGAGUAGAUUGCAAUAAAAUACCUAGAGAGGACCACUUUAAGCCUACACUCUAUUAUUUUCUUUGUGUGACAUGCACUCAUAGCAAUUGAACUCUAGAACUUGCUUUGCUUCUUUUUAAAGUCACAAUAGCAUAUGUAUCCAUGAAAAGAAAGGAUAUUUGUCAUUUUUAUUCCAUCAUAUUUUCCAUUUCUUUCUCCAUAAUUUUCUUGAAACAUCAUCCUCUAGCAUUUUAACCUUUGAUCAUCUUUGCUUGAUAUGUUUCUGUUGAGAAUGUUGGUUGAAUUCUUGAUGAGUUAGAUUGUGCAAGAUGACCAAGUUUUAAGCGUGGGGGAGAUGUAUAGAGCUUUUGAAUGUUUGGAUCUAUUUGUUAAUGUUGAGAUUCAACUUUAAGCCAAAGAUGAAGUCUUUGGGAAGAUAUAAUGGAGUUAAGUGCUUAAGGGUUUUCUGGAAGCAAGGGCAGCACUUGAAACUUUAAACAGUGAGGUGAUGAUGUUGGAAACAGAAUUCAGUUUGCAUGUGUAUCAAGUUGUGAAAUUCUUUCAUUAUUAGUCUUCUAAACCUUUGGGAAUGAAUGGUGACAAAUUGAUACAAAGUCCACAAGUGGAGAAUGAAAAUGCUGAGAUCUCCUCCUCAUUACUGAAAUCUGAACUUGACAACCAUUCUGAUUUCCAUAUUUUGGAAGUUGGGCUUUGCUGAUAAUACCAAUACUGAAUUUUGUCAAUAGAGCUAGUAGACUAUAAUUUGUUGUUGAUUGUUUAUGCAUUUUUGAGUAGCUUGAUAUGGAAAUGGCAAGAUUUGCAUGCUACAUUUUGCUGAGUUAUGAACCUUGAAGUUCUACUGUGAGCUUAUAUGAAGGUCAGUGCUAACUAAAAACUUUCCAAGUUGAUAUUGUGAUUUCUGCACAUUAUGGAUAUGCAAGUUGCUGAAUUUCUGAUUUUCAAAUUGCUGUAAUAUCUGAGCUUUUGCUGGAAUUGAAGGUCUAGCAUUAGUUCUGAUUUUGUACUGAUAAUGCAGAAGUUGCACUUCAGAAUCUGUAUGACACAGCAAGGAUUGAUUUUCUGAAACUUUUAUGUUUCAUUGAAAUGCUGUUUAUUCAGAUCAGGUUCUGGAAUUUUUGGUUUAAUAACUUAGUUGGAUUUGACAGCUAUUGCAUUAAGGAAAUCUGUUUGCCAAAGACUUACUCGGAUUUCUGUUAUUCUAAUCGAAAUGCUCAGCAAGUCACCUGGAAUUGAAAGAAUAUACUGGAAACUGCAGUGCAGAAAUCAAAAGUUGUUAAUAUGGAUCCUUGAGACUAUUCCUUCAUGAUAUUUAGCUGAAUCUGAUGUUUUAUUGUGCAUCUAAAUUGGUGAUAUUACAGAACUUAGAGAUGAAGCAAUAAAAAAAUCAGAAACAGAGAAGGAACAGGUUGAGAAUUUUCUACAAACAGAGGUAAGAAAACUGAAGGAAUAAAGCUGUAUGUAGACUAAUUUCAACUAAUUUUCAAAAUUGUUGCAUUGCAAAUGAUGUUCUCUCUUAAGUAUACUAUUUGUUGAUGCCAAAACAAGAACUUAAGCAGAGCAGUGCAGAGCUAUCAGCAAGUCUGCAAUGAGUAGGAGCAGUAAGUCCUCAAGGUCUUGUUUAUUGCCAAGCUUACUUGCUGAUUUUGGUGUGGCACAGUAGCUUUGUUAUGCUAAUCAUUUUGAUCAGUAUGCUCAAUUCUAAAUGCUGAUUAUGACUAGUAGUGAACAAAUUGAGGAGCUGAGUUUUUAAACAGGAAUGCAAUGGUGUCUUAGCUAAUAUUUAUAAUCUAUUUUCUGAUUAGAAGCAAGGUUAAUUCAAUCCUGACUAAGUGAAGUGCUUCUGCUGUUAGUUCUCAACUUAAGACUUCAAAGUCAGGAACUCAAAGAAAUCCUAGCUGGAUUCAUGAAAUCUUAAGUUGCAAUUUGGAAAUAAUUUGGAAAUGGAUUCUGUGAUGAUCUUUUGUAGAGUUAUGGAAGUGUUCUGAUCUUGUUUUUACAAGACAUUGCUGGACUCUGCCAGAAGCUAAAUCUGUGCUGGAUAUAAAGUUGAUGUUUUACAAUUGUUUUAAAAUGCUACUUAUGGAAAUAAUUUUGAGAAAGCUUCCAACAGAAUUGAAAUAAUUUUGUAAACGGGACAGCUGGUUCAGUUGUUGCUGCUGGAUUACAUUUGAUUUGUUGAAGCUUUGGUAGAUCAUGAGAAUUCCAGACUUGAGCACCAUAAUCUGAUACUGAAUUAUGGAAUUAGUGUGGCUGCUGAGAUAUUGAAUGAAUGACAGCUCUUGACAAUAUGACAAAUUUCUAUUGAAGCUCAAUUUCUGCAUAAUUCAAAGCCUACAAUUUCCUAGCUGUGAUUCUGAAAAUGUUGUACUCUGGAUUUAUGGAAAUUUGAUGUUGGAACCCUGUUUAUUGCUGCAUCUGAUUGCUGAAUUGUAGCAGGUUACAGGAUUCCAAAUUUAUUUACAGAUUAUAGCAGAAAACAUUUCUUUGUAAUGUGCCACGUGAUACCUUAGUUCCAUAUAGGAAAUUGAUAGCUGCAAAGUUAUGAGAAGGAAUUGGAUGUUAGCUGUCUUCCUUGAUUUGAAUUGUUGAAUUGUUGGAAGUGUGCAGUCCUUUGCAGUAUAAAUAUUCAACAGAAUGAUUAUCAUUGUUGUGGAAGCAAUGAGGAAUUGAAUCCGGAUUCCAUUUACUGAAAUAGCAGCACUUUACCAAUUGUUGAUCUGAAACAGAGAACAAAUUCUGCAGCUAAAAAGGAGUUAAACAGUGGUUAAAAGGUGUUAAGUAAUUGGAUGGCAUGAGUGUUUAAUUGUCCGAGAUGGCCAAGUUUAAGUGUGGGGAGGGGAUUCUUAUUGAUUAAUUAUUGUGAGAUUGUUUUUAGUUUCAAGUGAUGGAACAAGUGAAAAAAAAACAGUGAAAGAAAGAAGAAAAAAAAUUGAGAAAUGGCACAUCAAGAAUGUAUCAAAGGUGAAGAUAGAGUAUCAAGAAUUUUGGUUUUCCAUCAAAUUGAAGAGGAGGUUAGCUUGAUACUCUGAUGUGGUAAUGACAAAUGGCAUCAAGGGAAUGGAUCCGAGGUUGACCAAACCAGAUUGAACACGAAUCCAAGCUUAAAUGAAGAGAUCAAGCUCUGGAGUAAUCUGGAUCGUCCAUUCAAGAUUAAGAGAGAUCUAAGCCAUCCAUUGAAGAUUUGGUCCAUCCGAGCUAGGAGAGAGUAGAUCAGGUCCCUUGAUGAAGAUUUGAACCUUUGGAUCAAGUUUAGAUCAAGAUUCACCGUUGGAUCAGAGGCAGAAUAAUCACAGCCGUCCAUCACAGAACUGAGAUUAGAUUUAAAGGGAUGAGAAGCUACAGUGUUGGCGUCAACUUCUACAGUGUGAGCGUGAAGAGCAAUCGCGAGGGGUGAGUCUCCGACGAUCUUCUUCGACCCAUUCCACCACCGGCGAGCUUGUGAGGUCAAGGGCAUCCCUUCCUCCGGUCAUCAUCUACUCGUCAUCAGCCGGCGAUGCCACUUCAACCACCUGAUCCAGAUUUGAUUUCCGUUUCCCCGCGAUUCUGAGAAGAAGAAGAAACUGGGAAAGAGAGUAAUCUGGAGGUUCGAUUCCGAUUUCUUCUCUUACCAGCCGGCGAUUGUUUACCUUCAAGAUCUGAAUGCUCUAAUCGGUUAGAAGUGUUUGCUUCUACUUCCAUUGGUUUCUCCAUUGCUGUGUAUGAUCUUUGUAUUUCUUGUUCUUGCUGUGACACUGAAUCGAUCGUCUGAAUUGAUCGGUUCUUCACUGAUUUGUGAGUGCUUGGGGGUUCCUCCAACUCACUUUGGUUCAUCACUUUCCCCAAUCUCCAUUACUGAGUUGUGUUUUGCUCUAUUUCUAGUUCAAGUUUAUGAUUUGUGCCGUUUAA